AGCUUGCCUGGACUCGCGAAUGCUCUAGAUUAGAGUUUGAUCCUGGCUCAGGCACGAACACUGGCGGCGUGCCUAAUACAUGCAAGUCGAGCGAACAGAGAAGGAGCUUGCUCCUUUGACGUUAGCGGCGGACGGGUGAGUAACACGUGGGCAACCUACCUUAUAGUUUGGGAUAACUCCGGGAAACCGGGGCUAAUACCGAAUAAUCUAUUUUACUUCAUGGUGAAAUACUGAAAGACGGUUUCGGCUGUCGCUAUAAGAUGGGCCCGCGGCGCAUUAGCUAGUUGGUGAGGUAACGGCUCACCAAGGCGACGAUGCGUAGCCGACCUGAGAGGGUGAUCGGCCACACUGGGACUGAGACACGGCCCAGACUCCUACGGGAGGCAGCAGUAGGGAAUCUUCCACAAUGGGCGAAAGCCUGAUGGAGCAACGCCGCGUGAGUGAAGAAGGUUUUCGGAUCGUAAAACUCUGUUGUAAGGGAAGAACAAGUACAGUAGUAACUGGCUGUACCUUGACGGUACCUUAUUAGAAAGCCACGGCUAACUACGUGCCAGCAGGCCCCGGCGGGUAAAAUACCCGUAAGGGUGGGCAAAGCGUUUGUUCCCGGGAAAUUUAUUUGGGGGCCGGUUAAAAANACGGCGCCGCCAAGGGGNGGGGCCCUUUAAGUCCUCUGAAUUUUUGAAACCCCCNCCGGGGUCUCAAACCCNGGGGAGGGGGGCCCUCGGGGAACCCNGGGGGGGCCUUUGAGUNUCCCACCAAGGGACACUUGGGNCUUUCCCCCAGNUGUUACCGGGGCAAANUCGGCUUCACNAUUUUGUGGGCAACCCCCCGUUGGCAAAGGCACCUUCUGGGUCUGACUUGUCCGCCCUCACNGCGCNCACACCGUGGUCGCCGCACGGNUAUAUACCCUUCNGGUCCCCCCGCCCUGUGUUGUAUNNGGNAGCCCCCCUUAUUAGGACCNCUCCCC
RNAcentral lists this ribosomal RNA (967 nucleotides) under uncultured bacterium. RNAcentral's name for it is "bacterial SSU rRNA". The stretch from base 33 to 602 matches the Rfam family "Bacterial small subunit ribosomal RNA", at positions 9 to 546 of the family's 1533-position model. The record is from RNAcentral.